GACGAACGCUGGCGGCGUGCUUAGCACAUGCAAGUCGAACGGAAAGGCCCUGCUUGCAGGGUACUCGAGUGGCGAACGGGUGAGUAACACGUGGGUGAUCUGCCCUGCACUUCGGGAUAAGCCUGGGAAACUGGGUCUAAUACCGGAUAGGAGCCAUUUUUAGUGUGAUGGUUGGAAAGUUUUUUCGGUGUAGGAUGAGCUCGCGGCCUAUCAGCUUGUUGGUGGGGUAAUGGCCUACCAAGGCGGCGACGGGUAGCCGGCCUGAGAGGGUGGACGGCCACAUUGGGACUGAGAUACGGCCCAGACUCCUACGGGAGGCAGCAGUGGGGAAUAUUGCACAAUGGGCGCAAGCCUGAUGCAGCGACGCCGCGUGGGGGAUGACGGCCUUCGGGUUGUAAACUCCUUUCGCUAGGGACGAAGCUUUUUGUGACGGUACCUAGAGAAGAAGCACCGGCUAACUACGUG
RNAcentral lists this ribosomal RNA (465 nucleotides) under uncultured bacterium. RNAcentral describes it as "partial 16S ribosomal RNA". It matches the Rfam family "Bacterial small subunit ribosomal RNA", at positions 28 to 507 of the family's 1533-position model. The record is from RNAcentral.